UCGAGGAUCCAACUCUCGUCCAUUCCUGGCCUUUACCCUAACACCGACCCGAGAAACGGCCCUCCAAGCACAACGACGAGCGCACAUGGGUGACAACGCAAGGCAGCGCGACGGCGGGGCUGCGGCUACUGCAUAGACGAGCGGUGGCUGCUGCCGCUGCACAGAUCUGGCCCUCCCUCGCGCAAACUCCGUUCCGCGUGGCUCCCUCGCCUCCCAACGUUCCGUGCGGCUCCCCCGCCUCUGGCCAAAUCCAACAACGACAUCGACAUAGUGGUCUCCCACUCUCCCAUUCGAUUCAGUGGCUAUCUUCUCACCGGUAGUCGCAUCACCCUCCCUACCUUUCCUUUUUUUUUUUCCUUAUGUUCCAGUUCUAAGGUUCUUGAUUUGUGCCGGUUCUAGGUUUGAAGAUUAUGCGUCAUCGAACACCUGUUCUGUUAGACUAGCUUGUGCCGGCGCUGUCCGGUGUUAGGCCUGCCGCCGGCUACAAGAUUCGUGUCAAUUUCUGCGCAAGCUUGUGCACACUGAAAAUCGGUGGAUUCGCGUCAGAUUUUGUACAAGCUUCUGCACAGGCCUCUGAACCUGAGCUGUCACCAACCAAAAUGUUGUUCCACCACUACAACUGUGGAUUGAUGUCGAUCAAACAAGAACUGAGCCAUGUCGUCCUUUGCGAGGGAGCCUAGGUUUACAAGUUCGAAGUAGGCAGACAAGUAAGGUUGCUGCCUGCUUGUUGUAGUGACGCAUUAGGGCCUUGUCAAGUUGAAACCGUGCUUGUACAAGCGGCGAUGAGCUGAUCAUCUCAUAUCCACUAGUAAUACUGCAGUUGUAGUACAACUCUUUAAAAGUUUAUUGGUCAAGCUGAAGUGCAUUGUCAGGUCCCUUCAUCUGUAUGCCAAGCUGCUAUUCCAUUCCUUUUCCACAUUAGCUGCGUCUUUCAUGUGUUGGACCUCGAUAAGAAGAAAAGAUCAGCUAGGGGCUAGGGACGAUGCAUGCGUUUGUAUGGAAGCAGAUCAUGUAUAUAUAUAAUUCAAUUCAAUGGUCCACAUGCUGCAAGUCCUGCGUAUGCUGGUCCAUCAAAGGAACACCUGAACCGUUUUAUUUUUCAAUCUUGAAUUCUCAAUGGCAUGGUAUGUCAGCUGCCACACCUCAACUUUUAAAACCUUUAUAUCUUCCUUUGUUAUUGCUAAUUAAGACGUAUGUGGUGCGGUGGUAUAUCUAGAUAGCUUGUUUUUCUUCUGUCCUCCACCACAGAAUAUGGAGCAGAAAUAAAUCUGUUUCAAUUGUCAGCUAACAAUUAGAGGUCCGUGCUACAAAAGCGG
RNAcentral lists this long non-coding RNA (1316 nucleotides) under Zea mays. RNAcentral's name for it is "long non-coding RNA (ZMAY_LNC004013)". The record is from RNAcentral. Lineage: Eukaryota; Viridiplantae; Streptophyta; Magnoliopsida; Poales; Poaceae.